ACGCUGGCGGCAGGCCUACACAUGCAAGUCGAGCGCCGUAGCAAUACGGAGCGGCAGACGGGAGAGUAACACGUGGGAACGUACCCUUUGGUUCGGAACAACCCAGGGAAACUUGGGCUAAUACCGGAUAAGCCCUCACGGGGAAAGAUUCAUCGCCGAAGGAUCGGCCCGCGUCUGAUUAGCUAGUUGGUGGGGUAAUGGCCCACCAAGGCGACGAUCAGUAGCUGGUCUGAGAGGAUGAUCAGCCUCACUGGGACUGAGACACGGCCCAGACUCCUACGGGAGGCAGCAGUGGGGAAUAUUGGACAAUGGGCGCAAGCCUGAUCCAGCCAUGCCGCGUGGGUGAUGAAGGCCCUAGGGUUGUAAAGCCCUUUCGGCGGGGAAGAUAAUGACGGUACCCGCAGAAGAAGCCCCGGCUAACUUCGUGCCAGCAGCCGCGGUAAUACGAAGGGGGCUAGCGUUGCUCGGAAUCACUGGGCGUAAAGCGCACGUAGGCGGAUCGUUAAGUCAGGGGUGAAAUCCUGGAGCUCAACUCCAGAACUGCCUUUGAUACUGGCGAUCUUGAGUCCGGGAGAGGUGAGUGGAACUGCGAGUGU
Molecule: ribosomal RNA, 596 nt
Filed under: uncultured bacterium
Lineage: Bacteria
Description: bacterial SSU rRNA
Rfam family: Bacterial small subunit ribosomal RNA
Source: RNAcentral